RNAcentral lists this ribosomal RNA (399 nucleotides) under uncultured bacterium. Its description in RNAcentral is "bacterial SSU rRNA". It matches the Rfam family "Bacterial small subunit ribosomal RNA", at positions 359 to 775 of the family's 1533-position model. The record is from RNAcentral.
GAAUAUUGGACAAUGGGCGAAAGCCUGAUCCAGCCAUGCCGCGUGAGUGAUGAAGGCCCUAGGGUUGUAAAGCUCUUUCAGUGGGGAAGAUAAUGACGGUACCCACAGAAGAAGCCCCGGCUAACUUCGUGCCAGCAGCCGCGGUAAUACGAAGGGGGCUAGCGUUGUUCGGAUUUACUGGGCGUAAAGCGCGCGUAGGCGGACUUUUAAGUCAGGGGUGAAAUCCCGGGGCUCAACCCCGGAACAGCCUUUGAUACUGGAGGUCUAGAGGCCGAGAGAGGUGAGUGGAAUUCCGAGUGUAGAGGUGAAAUUCGUAGAUAUUCGGAGGAACACCAGUGGCGAAGGCGGCUCACUGGCUCGGUACUGACGCUGAGGUGCGAAAGCGUGGGGAGCAAACAG